AUUGAACGCUGGCGGCAUGCCUUACACAUGCAAGUCGAACGGCAGCACGGACUUCGGUCUGGUGGCGAGUGGCGAACGGGUGAGUAAUAUAUCGGAACAUACCCUAGAGUGGGAUAACGUAGCGAAAGUUACGCUAAUACCGCAUACGAACUAAGGUUGAAAGCGGGGGAUCUUCGGACCUCGUGCUCAUGGAGUGGCCGAUAUCUGAUUAGCUAGUUGGUGAGGUAAAGGCUCACCAAGGCGACGAUCAGUAGCUGGUUUGAGAGAACGACCAGCCACACUGGGACUGAGACACGGCCCAGACUCCUACGGGAGGCAGCAGUGGGGAAUUUUGGACAAUGGGCGCAAGCCUGAUCCAGCAAUGCCGCGUGCAGGAAGAAGGCCU
Molecule: ribosomal RNA, 385 nt
Filed under: uncultured bacterium
Lineage: Bacteria
Description: bacterial SSU rRNA
Rfam family: Bacterial small subunit ribosomal RNA
Source: RNAcentral